AUUGAACGCUGGCGGCAUGCUUUACACAUGCAAGUCGAACGGCAGCGCGGGGGCAACCCUGGCGGCGAGUGGCGAACGGGUGAGUAAUGCAUCGGAACGUAUCCUGUAAUGGGGGAUAACGUAGCGAAAGUUACGCUAAUACCGCAUACGCUCGAGAGAGGAAAGUGGGGGAUCGCAAGACCUCACGUUAUAGGAGCGGCCGAUGUCCGAUUAGCUAGUUGGUGGGGUAAAGGCCUACCAAGGCGACGAUCGGUAGCUGGUCUGAGAGGAUGAUCAGCCACACUGGGACUGAGACACGGCCCAGACUCCUACGGGAGGCAGCAGUGGGGAAUUUUGGACAAUGGGCGAAAGCCUGAUCCAGCCAUGCCGCGUGCGGGAAGAAGGCCUCGGUUGUAACCG
RNAcentral lists this ribosomal RNA (399 nucleotides) under uncultured bacterium. Its description in RNAcentral is "bacterial SSU rRNA". It matches the Rfam family "Bacterial small subunit ribosomal RNA", at positions 29 to 432 of the family's 1533-position model. The record is from RNAcentral.